AGUGAACGCUGGCGGUAGGCCUAACACAUGCAAGUCGAACGGCAGCACAGUAAGAGCUUGCUCUUACGGGUGGCGAGUGGCGGACGGGUGAGGAAUACAUCGGAAUCUACUUUUUCGUGGGGGAUAACGUAGGGAAACUUACGCUAAUACCGCAUACGACCUACGGGUGAAAGCAGGGGAUCUUCGGACCUUGCGCGAUUGAAUGAGCCGAUGUCGGAUUAGCUAGUUGGCGGGGUAAAGGCCCACCAAGGCGACGAUCCGUAGCUGGUCUGAGAGGAUGGGCGGCCACAUGGGAAGUGGAACAGGGACAAGAGUCCUGCGGGAGGCAGCAGUGGGGAAUGUUAGGCAACGGGGGCAAGCCUGGUCCAGCCAUCCGGAGUGGGAGAAAAAGGCCUUCUGUUUGUAAAGACGUUUUGUUGGGAAAAAAAAGCAGCCGGUUAAUACCCCGCUGUACUGACGGUAACGAAAAAAUAAGCACCGGCUAGCUUCGUG
Molecule: ribosomal RNA, 492 nt
Filed under: uncultured bacterium
Lineage: Bacteria
Description: partial 16S ribosomal RNA
Rfam family: Bacterial small subunit ribosomal RNA
Source: RNAcentral